GUUUUAAUAAUUUAAUAAAAAUAGGGGUCUUGUAAACCACAAAUGAGGGUACUCUUAAAACU
This 62-nucleotide transfer RNA is filed under the name Teliapsocus conterminus. RNAcentral describes it as "tRNA-Thr". The record is from RNAcentral. Lineage: Eukaryota; Metazoa; Arthropoda; Insecta; Psocodea; Amphipsocidae.